RNAcentral lists this ribosomal RNA (471 nucleotides) under uncultured bacterium. RNAcentral's name for it is "bacterial SSU rRNA". It matches the Rfam family "Bacterial small subunit ribosomal RNA", at positions 335 to 798 of the family's 1533-position model. The record is from RNAcentral.
ACUCCUACGGGAGGCAGCAGUGGGGAAUAUUGCACAAUGGGCGCAAGCCUGAUGCAGCCCAUGCCGCGUGUAUGAAGAAGGCCUUCGGGUUGUAAAGUACUUUCAGCAGUGAGGAAGGUGGAUAUGUUAAUAGCAUAUUCAUUUGACGUUAGCUGCAGAAGAAGCACCGGCUAACUCCGUGCCAGCAGCCGCGGUAAUACGGAGGGUGCGAGCGUUAAUCGGAAUUACUGGGCGUAAAGCGCAUGCAGGUGGUUUGUUAAGUCAGAUGUGAAAGCCCGGGGCUCAACCUCGGAAUUGCAUUUGAAACUGGCAAACUAGAGUACUGUAGAGGGGGGUAGAAUUUCAGGUGUAGCGGUGAAAUGCGUAGAGAUCUGAAGGAUACCGGUGGCGAAGGCGGCCCCCUGGACAGAUACUGACACUCAGAUGCGAAAGCGUGGGGAGCAAACAGGAUUAGAUACCCUGGUAGGCUCU